Molecule: ribosomal RNA, 1149 nt
Filed under: Bacillus sp. (in: firmicutes)
Lineage: Bacteria; Bacillati; Bacillota; Bacilli; Caryophanales; Bacillaceae
Description: bacterial SSU rRNA
Rfam family: Bacterial small subunit ribosomal RNA
Source: RNAcentral
AUUAGCUUGCUUUUGAAGAUCAGCGGCGGACGGGUGAGUAACACGUGGGCAACCUGCCUGUAAGACUGGGAUAACUUCGGGAAACCGGAGCUAAUACCGGAUAAUCCUUUCCCUCUCAUGAGGGAAAGCUGAAAGACGGUUUCGGCUGUCACUUACAGAUGGGCCCGCGGCGCAUUAGCUAGUUGGUGAGGUAACGGCUCACCAAGGCGACGAUGCGUAGCCGACCUGAGAGGGUGAUCGGCCACACUGGGACUGAGACACGGCCCAGACUCCUACGGGAGGCAGCAGUAGGGAAUCUUCCGCAAUGGACGAAAGUCUGACGGAGCAACGCCGCGUGAGCGAUGAAGGCCUUCGGGUCGUAAAGCUCUGUUGUCAGGGAAGAACAAGUACCGGAGUAACUGCCGGUACCUUGACGGUACCUGACCAGAAAGCCACGGCUAACUACGUGCCAGCAGCCGCGGUAAUACGUAGGUGGCAAGCGUUGUCCGGAAUUAUUGGGCGUAAAGCGCGCGCAGGCGGUUCCUUAAGUCUGAUGUGAAAGCCCCCGGCUCAACCGGGGAGGGUCAUUGGAAACUGGGGAACUUGAGUGCAGAAGAGGAGAGCGGAAUUCCACGUGUAGCGGUGAAAUGCGUAGAGAUGUGGAGGAACACCAGUGGCGAAGGCGGCUCUCUGGUCUGUAACUGACGCUGAGGCGCGAAAGCGUGGGGAGCGAACAGGAUUAGAUACCCUGGUAGUCCACGCCGUAAACGAUGAGUGCUAAGUGUUAGAGGGUUUCCGCCCUUUAGUGCUGCAGCAAACGCAUUAAGCACUCCGCCUGGGGAGUACGGCCGCAAGGCUGAAACUCAAAGGAAUUGACGGGGGCCCGCACAAGCGGUGGAGCAUGUGGUUUAAUUCGAAGCAACGCGAAGAACCUUACCAGGUCUUGACAUCCUCUGACAACCCUAGAGAUAGGGCGUUCCCCUUCGGGGGACAGAGUGACAGGUGGUGCAUGGUUGUCGUCAGCUCGUGUCGUGAGAUGUUGGGUUAAGUCCCGCAACGAGCGCAACCCUUGAUCUUAGUUGCCAGCAUUAAGUUGGGCACUCUAAGGUGACUGCCGGUGACAAACCGGAGGAAGGUGGGGAUGACGUCAAAUCAUCAUGCCCCUUAUGA